RNAcentral lists this ribosomal RNA (372 nucleotides) under uncultured organism. Its description in RNAcentral is "partial 16S ribosomal RNA". It matches the Rfam family "Bacterial small subunit ribosomal RNA", at positions 527 to 896 of the family's 1533-position model. The record is from RNAcentral.
GUAGGUGGCAAGCGUUGUCCGGAAUUAUUGGGCGUAAAGCGCGCGCAGGCGGUUCUUUAAGUCUGAUGUGAAAGCCACGGCUCAACCGUGGAGGGUCAUUGGAAACUGGAGAACUUGAGUACAGAAGAGGAAAGCGGAAUUCCACGUGUAGCGGUGAAAUGCGUAGAGAUGUGGAGGAACACCAGUGGCGAAGGCGGCUUUCUGGUCUGUAACUGACGCUGAGGCGCGAAAGCGUGGGGAGCAAACAGGGAUUAGAUACCCUGGUAGUCCACGCCGUAAACGAUGAGUGCUAAGUGUUAGGGGGUUUCCGCCCCCUUAGUGCUGCAGCUAAUGCAUUAAGCACUCCGCCCUGGGAGUACGGCCGCAAGGCUG